AACAUACGUUUCUAUCGAAUCAAAUUUAUCAAAACGGAUUAUUCAAUCAAACUGUUUAUCACUUGCGAAUAACUGUUAUGCAUAUUUACACGUGAUGCUAGUUACAUAUGUGUUAGGACUUAUACUCGCAAGGUCCCGCCUUAACUAGUAUAGUACUAUAGAACCCGAUGGGGUCUAGUUAGGAUGAAUAUCAAUCGCAAUCGCAGCUCGAGUGACUUAGCUGGUAGUAUCUGUCUUUUAUGCAUGUAGGUUGGGGUAUCCCAUUUAUGUAUUUGGUUUAGUCGCAGUCUACAUCAAAUCAAGCUAGGAAGUCUAGAAACUCACCUAAAAUCUAGGUUGUCGGAAUUGAAUUGUUUGAGAGAACAUGAAAUUCGUGACGGCUUAUGUGAUUGUAAUUGUUUAUUAGUAUGGGAUAAUGAACGCAUUAAAUAGU
RNAcentral lists this long non-coding RNA (433 nucleotides) under Helianthus annuus (common sunflower). RNAcentral's name for it is "hypothetical non coding rna". Lineage: Eukaryota; Viridiplantae; Streptophyta; Magnoliopsida; Asterales; Asteraceae. The record is from RNAcentral.